GACGAACGCUGGCGGCGUGCCUAAUACAUGCAAGUCGAGCGGACUGAAUGGGAGCUUGCUCUUGUUCGGUCAGCGGCGGACGGGUGAGUAACACGUGGGCAACCUGCCCGCAAGACCGGGAUAACUCCGGGAAACCGGAGCUAAUACCGGAUAACACCGAAGACCGCAUGGUCUUUGGUUGAAAGGCGGCGCAAGCUGCCACUUGCGGCUGGGCCCGCGGCGCAUUAGCUAGUUGGUGAGGUAACGGCUCACCAAGGCGACGAUGCGUAGCCGGCCUGAGAAGGAGGCCGGCCACACUGGGACUGAGACAAGGCCCAGACUCCUACGGGAGGCAGCAGGAGGGAAUCUUCCGCAAUGGGCGAAAGCCUGACGGAGCGACGCAGGGUGAGCGAAGAAGGGCUUCGGGUCGUAAAGCUCUGUUGUGAGGGACGAAGGAGCGCCGUUUGAAGAAGGCGGCGCGGUGACGGUACCUCACGAGGAAGCCCCGGCUAACUACGUG
This 499-nucleotide ribosomal RNA is filed under the name uncultured bacterium. RNAcentral's name for it is "partial 16S ribosomal RNA". It matches the Rfam family "Bacterial small subunit ribosomal RNA", at positions 28 to 507 of the family's 1533-position model. The record is from RNAcentral.